CCCCUUCACGACCACUGGAGCUCACGAUCUCAAACGGCGGCGACUCCUCUACCGCUAGCGCUCACGAUCUCCAACCGCAGCGCCUCCUCCAGGCCUCUACAUCGAGGAGCAGUGUCCACCGCAACGCCUUCCUAGAGCUCGUCUACCUCGCGAACCCUAGGUGCCGCCGCCAUGCCGAACUGCGUGGGCAGCAAGUUCGAGCAACCGCCAUGUCCUUUCCGUGACGGCAAAAAGUUCGGGCACCGCCCACCCCUCAGGAAAGCAAGUCUGUGAUCACUUCGCCCGCCAGGCAGAAAACGUGCAAUUUUGUGCACUCAAGAUCCUCGCAAGAGCCAUGGAGGGGCCGUGGCUGAUGCCGCAGGUGGCCGUCAUGGUCCUCUUCGACAACCUUCAUGUGAUUUGCGACUGCUUCAAAGUCUAUUCCUGAUGCCUCCUUAUAAUUUGGGUUCACUUCUCUUUUUUCAGUGCAAAGGAUAUAUGCAUGGGAGGUUGCUUUAUAGAUUGAACAACAUAUGCUUCUGAUGUUGUUCACUUAAAACCGAUCCACUAUUUUAAUUUUUUAGAUCAACAUCCACUAUUUUAAUUGAACACUCACAAGGCUGUAUGGUACAUAGGAGUAUAUACAACCUCUGAAAAUUCAUGCUAUGCAAUCAAUAUCAAUUAUUAGAUGGAGCAUGUUGUUUCAAAGGCUGAUUUAAAAUGUGUUUAUAUUUAUUGUUCAUUGGGAAGCUACUUAAGUUAAAUUUCUGAAAUAUAGCGUGUGAAUAUACUUAUCUUAUAUUAAUAUUGCAUUUGGUAAGCCACUUCGAGUAGUUCUUUCAUUUUGCCGGUCAGUAUGAAUAUGAUGCUGAAAAGGUUGACACUUGCAUUGAUUGGAUUUGGAAUCUUGCCGGUUCUUGGUAGUAUCAAUGGGCUGUUUGCUCUGCUUUACUUUUAAAUUUGGACAAAAAAGUAUUCGUACAUAUGUACAUGUGGUUUAUGCUGAAAAAAUCUUGCCUUGAUCUAUUUGAUGACCGACAUUCAAGUGUCUGAACUUGUGGUACUAGCUUUCACCAUUAUAUGGUGGGUGCUCAUUUCGGUUCCUUUGAUGCUCUAACUAUUUCACGUGUGAAAUUGGAUGACUUAGUAGAGGGGAUGAAAAGGUCAUGGAAGAAUAUUUGCAAGGAAUUAAGUGUGUAUGCAAUUGGAUAUUUGUGUAAGGUUUCGAUGCAUUUACCAGAUAGGUAGGUGAUACUUUUAGUCGUUAUAUUUACAUAUGUCGCCUUUAUUUGCUAGGGCACAUAUGUUGUCAUGUACUCAUGUUCUCCGGAUUAGAUCAAUCACCAUACUAUUCUUAUAUUUUUUCUUGGCUGCUUGUGGAAUUCUAGCCUAGCCAACAUCAUGAACCAGCACCCUAUAUUUAGACGUGGUAGUGCUUCCAUGCUGUUUAUGGCACCAAUUCUGUAUAAGGAAGAAUAUAAAUUGCUCAUUUUCCUCCUAUGAGUUGAAUGGUCUCAAAUCUUGGUGCAUGUUUUUUUAAAUGUUACAUCUAUAACUGAAAAUCCUUCUGAUAUAGAUUUGUUAGUAAGUUAAGCCAUUUUGAUAUCAUAAUUUUGUGGUUACAAAGGUGGUACACGCAGCCAUGCAGUUCAUAGGAAGGAGAUACAUGAAAUUUUUUUUCCUGGAAUGCUUAGGUAAAUUGUGUGAUGUAAAAAAAGUCUACUCCCACAAUUGGUUUGCAUAGUUUGAUAUCAUAAAGUGCAGUUAGAUUCAAUAAUGACUAUCACUCUUGGAGUUCUAAAUGUAUUGAGAAAUUUAUACGGUUCUUUACAUGGCUAUCAACUCUUUGAGGUUUGUUGUUCCAGAUGUUUGUGUCUUCUACUUGCUGCGAGUGCGAGCCUGCGAGGUUGAUGAUAAUACAGACUCAAGUCCUGGCAAUCUGGGUUAAAUGUGAUGGUCAUCUAUGUGAUGUACAAAGAGUUGAUAAGGUUAGGGGAAAGAAAUAUUUCAGCAUUGAGCGAUUCUAAAUAGGAGUACAUGACAAUAACAAGCUUACCUCUUCACCCACUCGAGAGACACUGGAUCCAAAGUGUGCUAAGGAUCCUCUCCAUGGACUUCUUCUUCAAUGUCGCUGUUAUUU
Lolium rigidum is the source of this 2119-nucleotide long non-coding RNA. RefSeq lists it as uncharacterized. NCBI's taxonomy places the organism in Eukaryota, Viridiplantae, Streptophyta, Magnoliopsida, Poales, Poaceae. The record is from RefSeq and is a predicted model, not a curated record. The transcript is spliced from 4 exons.